Molecule: ribosomal RNA, 614 nt
Filed under: Limosilactobacillus fermentum
Lineage: Bacteria; Bacillati; Bacillota; Bacilli; Lactobacillales; Lactobacillaceae
Description: bacterial SSU rRNA
Rfam family: Bacterial small subunit ribosomal RNA
Source: RNAcentral
CAACGAGUGGCGGACGGGUGAGUAACACGUAGGUAACCUGCCCAGAAGCGGGGGACAACAUUUGGAAACAGAUGCUAAUACCGCAUAACAACGUUGUUCGCAUGAACAACGCUUAAAAGAUGGCUUCUCGCUAUCACUUCUGGAUGGACCUGCGGUGCAUUAGCUUGUUGGUGGGGUAACGGCCUACCAAGGCGAUGAUGCAUAGCCGAGUUGAGAGACUGAUCGGCCACAAUGGGACUGAGACACGGCCCAUACUCCUACGGGAGGCAGCAGUAGGGAAUCUUCCACAAUGGGCGCAAGCCUGAUGGAGCAACACCGCGUGAGUGAAGAAGGGUUUCGGCUCGUAAAGCUCUGUUGUUAAAGAAGAACACGUAUGAGAGUAACUGUUCAUACGUUGACGGUAUUUAACCAGAAAGUCACGGCUAACUACGUGCCAGCAGCCGCGGUAAUACGUAGGUGGCAAGCGUUAUCCGGAUUUAUUGGGCGUAAAGAGAGUGCAGGCGGUUUUCUAAGUCUGAUGUGAAAGCCUUCGGCUUAACCGGAGAAGUGCAUCGGAAACUGGAUAACUUGAGUGCAGAAGAGGGUAGUGGAGCUCCAUGUGUAGCGGUGGAAUG